GCCUCUUUAGCUCAGGGGUUAGAGCACUGGUCUAGUAAACCAGGGGUCGAGAGUGCAAAUCUCUGAUGAGGCU
This 73-nucleotide transfer RNA is filed under the name Paramuricea clavata. It matches the Rfam family "tRNA". From Rfam's summary of the family: Transfer RNA (tRNA) molecules are approximately 80 nucleotides in length. Their secondary structure includes four short double-helical elements and three loops (D, anti-codon, and T loops). Lineage: Eukaryota; Metazoa; Cnidaria; Anthozoa; Malacalcyonacea; Plexauridae. The record is from Rfam by way of RNAcentral.